AGUGGGAUAACUGCAUCAAAUGGUGGUUCCAUUACCAGUUGUCUAAGGAAUAUCUAUACUGCUUUCCACAGUGGUUGUACCCAUUUGCAGUUCCACCAGCAAU
Molecule: microRNA precursor, 103 nt
Filed under: Marmota monax (woodchuck)
Lineage: Eukaryota; Metazoa; Chordata; Mammalia; Rodentia; Sciuridae
Source: RNAcentral